GAAAGCGAGCCGGAKCCAUGCCGCGUGGAGGUAGAAGGCCUACGGGUCGUGAACUUCUUUUCCCGGAGAAGAAGCAAUGACGGUAUCCGGGGAAUAGGCAUCSGCUAACUCUGUGCCAGCACCCGCGGUAAGACAGAGGAUGCAAGCGUUAUCCGGAAUGAUUGGGCGUAAAGCGUCUGUAGGUGGCUUUUUAAGUUCGCCGUCAAAUCCCRGGGCUCNCCCCUGGACAGGCGGUGGAAACUACCAAGCUGGAGUACGGUAGGGGCAGAGGGAAUUUCCGGUGGAGCGGUGAAAUGYGUAUAGAUCGGAAAGAACACCAACGGCGARAGCACUCUGCUGGGCCGACAUAGACACUGAGAGACGAAAGCUAGGGGAGCGAAUGGGAUUAGAUACCCCAGUAGUCCUAGCCGUAAACGAUGGAUACUAGGCGUUGUGCGUAUCGACCCGUGCARUGCUGUAGCUAACGCGUUAUCUAUCCCU
Molecule: ribosomal RNA, 480 nt
Filed under: uncultured bacterium
Lineage: Bacteria
Description: bacterial SSU rRNA
Rfam family: Bacterial small subunit ribosomal RNA
Source: RNAcentral